Molecule: long non-coding RNA, 1632 nt
Filed under: Sus scrofa (pig)
Lineage: Eukaryota; Metazoa; Chordata; Mammalia; Artiodactyla; Suidae
Description: lncRNA (ENSSSCG00055027493.1)
Source: RNAcentral
UUUUCGUUUUAGGGCUGCACUUGCUGCAUAUGGAGGUUCCCAGGCUAGGGGUCGAAUUGGAGCUGUAGCCACCGGCCUACACCAGAGCCUCUUCGACCUACACCACAGCUCAGUGGCAAUACCACUUAACCCACUAAGCGAGGCCAGGGAUUGAACCUUCAUCCUCAUGGAGACAACAUCAGGUUCUUAACCCAUGGAGCCACAGUGGGAACUCCUACAAUCAGGACUUUUAAUGAAGGUGCACAUUGUGUCUUGACCAUAACGCUGCGGCCACUUAGCAGCUGCGUACGGGGCAAGCACCACUUUAUGUGCCCUGGGACUGAAGCCUGCUUUGACUGGCUUGGCAGCAGCAUCUGCUCUGUUGUGGUGUCUCCACACGGAGGUGGAGAAGGGACAGGCCGGGCCCUGUCUGUCGACGCCUGGGCCGUGGACGUGCGCUGGCUCGGGUUUGGUCCCAAGAAGGAAGUGCUGCUUUGGCAACAAACACCGACAAAGCUGGGCGGCGUCGGGGCGGGAGAGGGGCAGAGGCCGCAGGAGGCGUCUGAGGUGCCUGCUAGCACCGCGAGUGCUCAGUGUCGGGGUGAGGCCCCAAAAGACGAGGGGUGCUGCCGAGAGAGCGGCCGCCUUCCCCGAUUCACAAGUAACCCGGGCAGACGGGAGACACGUGGAGACGGCGCAUUCAAGGGCGGCUGGGGAACGUGGGGAUCCUUGGUGUGACAGCUGUGACAGCAAACACACCUCAGAGGAAACGCUCCUGAGAAACCAGGGCUGGAUGCGCUCGCUGGGAGAUGCCUUUCCAGGAGCAGACCGCGCGUCCUGUGCGCUGAACCGGGUGAACGCCGAAGCUGCCACCCCCUCUUCACAGGCAGGGAGCGCAGGGCCGUCCUCUGGACCAGACUGUCCCCCACGGCGAGGCACGUCACGCCCCAGGCACGUGAUUCCAGAGCGUUGGAACUGGAGUUGGGAGGGACCCCGUCCCCCAUGUGUGACCAACACCGAUCGUGUGUCACUCCAGGGGCUCAGCGGCUCCUGGACAGAGACCUGGGCCUGCCCUCAGCGAUCUCGGUCUAUCGGGCAGAGGUUCAAGUUUAAACAAAUGGGUCUAAUAAGGGUCCUAGCUGCUAACACGUCCCCACAUCCGAGGAGUUUCACAUGCUGCUCUGCCAAAGGCAUUUGCUGUGGCAGAUUCCUGCGUCUGGGCUCCGUUUACAGUGCUGUGUCCGUUGCUGCUGUCCAGCGAAGUGACCCAGUCGCAGGCGUCCUUUUUCCCAUGCUGUCUCCCGUCACGUGCCGUCACGGGAACUGCAAAGAGCUCCCUGUGCUGAGCAGCAGGACCGCAUGGCUUGUCCACCUCAAUGUCAUCGUUGGCGUCGACCGGCCUGUCAAGGGGACGAUGAGCAUGGAAAGCGCACCACAGCUUUCAGACGAAGGAACAAGACGAACACGCAGGCGCUGGAGGAGGAGGAGACGGGCGAUCCACCUGGAAGAGCACUCGGAGUGACCACAGCGAAGGUGGUCCACGAUGCCGGGAAAAGAGCGGAGACACGGACGGAGGAGGUGCAAGAAACGUUUAACAAAGAGCCGAGGGUUUAAAGAGCAAGCAGACAGACUGAGACGAACAGCGCAACAUCU